This 714-nucleotide ribosomal RNA is filed under the name uncultured bacterium. RNAcentral's name for it is "bacterial SSU rRNA". It matches the Rfam family "Bacterial small subunit ribosomal RNA", at positions 65 to 774 of the family's 1533-position model. The record is from RNAcentral.
AGCGGGAAGUAGUUUACUACUUUGCCGGCGAGCGGCGGACGGGUGAGUAAUGUCUGGGAAACUGCCUGAUGGAGGGGGAUAACUACUGGAAACGGUAGCUAAUACCGCAUAACGUCUUCGGACCAAAGUGGGGGACCUUCGGGCCUCACGCCAUCGGAUGUGCCCAGAUGGGAUUAGCUAGUAGGUGGGGUAAUGGCUCACCUAGGCGACGAUCCCUAGCUGGUCUGAGAGGAUGACCAGCCACACUGGAACUGAGAUACGGUCCAGACUCCUACGGGAGGCAGCAGUGGGGAAUAUUGCACAAUGGGCGCAAGCCUGAUGCAGCCAUGCCGCGUGUGUGAAGAAGGCCUUCGGGUUGUAAAGCACUUUCAGCGAGGAGGAAGGCCAAUAACUUAAUACGUUGUUGGAUUGACGUUACUCGCAGAAGAAGCACCGGCUAACUCCGUGCCAGCAGCCGCGGUAAUACGGAGGGUGCAAGCGUUAAUCGGAAUUACUGGGCGUAAAGCGCACGCAGGCGGUUUGUUAAGUCAGAUGUGAAAUCCCCGCGCUUAACGUGGGAACUGCAUUUGAAACUGGCAAGCUAGAGUCUUGUAGAGGGGGGUAGAAUUCCAGGUGUAGCGGUGAAAUGCGUAGAGAUCUGGAGGAAUACCGGUGGCGAAGGCGGCCCCCUGGACAAAGACUGACGCUCAGGUGCGAAAGCGUGGGGAGCAAACA